RNAcentral lists this long non-coding RNA (769 nucleotides) under Sus scrofa (pig). Its description in RNAcentral is "lncRNA (ENSSSCG00055015990.1)". Lineage: Eukaryota; Metazoa; Chordata; Mammalia; Artiodactyla; Suidae. The record is from RNAcentral.
AUGUGCAAGGCCCUUCAGGAUGCUGCCCUGACCACUGUUUUCAGUGCCACCUCCAUUAGGCACCUACUUCCCAGCCUCCCUGGUCCAUUUGUCAAAGUACCUUCUCACCACUGUCUUUUCUUUUCUAGAAUGCCCUUUCUGCUUCCUCGACUUAAUGAAAGGCAACUCGUUUUUCAAUUUGGGUCACCAAAUACCACCUUGCUUCGAAAUCUUCCCUCUCUCCCCUUCAGUUGAGAAAGGAGGCUGCCAAGAAGUCAGAACAAUGGAAGCUAAGCAAAGAUACAGAAUCAAUUUCUGAAGACCACGAGGGAAGAAGCUGAUGAAGACUCUAUGUAUAGUUAGAUAAUGGGACGUUUCAUCCCUGGAAAGAUAAUAUUAAUAACUGCUGGAGGAGGGGAGAACUGUGGAGCAAAGAAUCUUGAGGGUGAGCAGUGCUGCUCAAACCACCUGUGGCAAUAGAUCAGUUUUAAAUUUCCAAUCCAGGAGUUCCCGUCAUGGCGCAGUGGUUAACGAAUCCGACUAGGAACCAUGAGGUUGCGGGUUCGGUCCCUGCCCCUGCUCAGUGGGUUAACGAUCUGGCAUUGCCGUGAGCUGUGGUGUAGGUUGCAGACGCGGCUCAGAUCCCGCGUUGCUGUGGCUCUGGCGUAGGCCAGUGGCUACAGCUCCGAUUCGACCCCUAGCCUGGGAACCUCCAUAUGCCACGGGAACGGCCCCCCAAAAUAGCAAAAAGACAAAAAAUAAAAAAUAAAAAUAAAUAAAUAAAUUUCCA